GCACCCGUAGCUCAGCUGGAUAGAGUACUGCCCUCCGAAGGCAGGGGUCACAGGUUCGAAUCCUGUCGGGUGCACCA
RNAcentral lists this transfer RNA (77 nucleotides) under Insolitispirillum peregrinum. RNAcentral's name for it is "tRNA-Arg". It matches the Rfam family "tRNA". From Rfam's summary of the family: Transfer RNA (tRNA) molecules are approximately 80 nucleotides in length. Their secondary structure includes four short double-helical elements and three loops (D, anti-codon, and T loops). The record is from RNAcentral. Lineage: Bacteria; Pseudomonadati; Pseudomonadota; Alphaproteobacteria; Rhodospirillales; Novispirillaceae. RNAcentral also lists the same sequence under 27 other names.